CAGUCGCGCGGUAAAACGUAGGUGGCAAGCGUUGUCCGGAAUUAUUGGGCGUAAAGGGCUCGCAGGCGGUUUCUUAAGUCUGAUGUGAAAGCCCCCGGCUCAACCGGGGAGGGUCAUUGGAAACUGGGAAACUUGAGUGCAGAAGAGGAGAGUGGAAUUCCACGUGUAGCGGUGAAAUGCGUAGAGAUGUGGAGGAACACCAGUGGCGAAGGCGACUCUCUGGUCUGUAACUGACGCUGAGGAGCGAAAGCGUGGGGAGCGAACGGGAUUAGAUACCCGAGUAGUCCCUGUCUCUUAUACA
RNAcentral lists this ribosomal RNA (301 nucleotides) under uncultured bacterium. Its description in RNAcentral is "partial 16S ribosomal RNA". It matches the Rfam family "Bacterial small subunit ribosomal RNA", at positions 509 to 808 of the family's 1533-position model. The record is from RNAcentral.